GAGAUCGUAUUUUAAUCUAGUUCGCGAGGAAAGAAUAAAACUUGGGCUCGAGCAACCCAUCUUUAGGCCUAAUUUUUGGACCUAGUCCAUAAUUACCAAGCCUAUAAUUCCUAGGCCCAUACCUCUAACCUAAUCCCUACCCCUAUAUAAUAGUACCUAAUCCCUACAUAGACCUACACCUAAAAAAACCUUACAGAUCCGCCGUUCUUCAGAAAAAUACACAACAAAAAUGAGAACAAAAAAUUGAGAGCCAAAGACCUCUAGAAAAAGAUUCGCAGUUUCCUAAUCAAAGAAGAACCCCCUCCCCCGUCGGAUUCUGGGCUUCUCUUUCACAAUUAAAAAGCUAGUUUCAUCUUCAAAAAGAGAAAACAAAAAAGAAAGCAGCCAUCAUCUCCCAACAUUGAGACCUAGCGGAACGACACUAGCAGAAAAUGCAGCAAAAGAUCUAGCAAACCGCAGCAGCUCCGGCUUCUCUAUCCCACUUCAGAAAUCGGUUCUGAAGCCAUGUAAAUUUAUCUCCGCUAGGUCACUGCUUUUCCCGGCGUUUCGCCGGAGUUGUGCCAUCUCCGAUCAACUCUUUCACUACAAAACUUAGCGGCUUCAGUUUCUUUAACCGCUAUUGGUCUCUUAAGUUGAGCCCAACCCGUCAAGGUCGUCGAGGUCUCCGGCGAGUUGUUUGAUUGAAUUUUCGUUACCGAGCUUUGUUUUUUUAAAAACGAACUUCUAAGUUUGCAGAGGUCCGUUUUCUCGUUCAUUCUUUCUUGCUGUCUGUUAGCUUGUUAAAAUAAUAUCAAAUGCUUUCAGCUCAGUAAAUGCCUCCAAAUGUACGUUGCUUGCUUCUGUUACAUAUAAAGCCAUGAGAGUUCCAUUUCAAUUUCAAUUAUUUUCAUAUCAAAUAUGUCUUAGAUGUUUUCUUUAAAUAUUUGUGGUGCCAAUUUCCUUCCUUAGCCUUUCUUGUAGAUAUUGGCUGUCUAGGACCUUCUUAUUGUAUCAUAUUCAUUUGGCCUCAAUAAUUCUUUGGGAUAUGUAUAGUUUUGGGAAUAGGCAAAUGGGAGUAUAAUAAGGAAGGCUUAUUUAGACCGUAUGCUUGGUCUCUAAACUUAAUUAGUCUAAGUUGAGGCUCUAAUUGAUUUGAGACAAAAUAGAUCCUGUUAAUCAUCCUAUUUACUCCCUAAUAAAAUUUUAUGCAUAAAGCAUGGCCUUACAACAAUCUUCAAUAAUUAUGAAUAUCGCAGCUUACUUUAGGUGCAAUUAAUAAUAAAAGAUCGUGACUAUGGGUACGGUUCCCGUGACAUAGUCAUGAUACCUAAUUCCCAAAUUCGGGUGUGCAUUUAUGUGACCCAAAUCCAAAUGUCAACAACAUUAGAUAAAAUGCGUCGUGGACCGCGGGUGCACUUAUGUGACGUGGUUCAAGACGUGUUUUAGAUGAUGUUGAAUCUUCCUAAAAUUAACUAAAAGUGAUUAAUAAUUUAAAAUUAUACCAUAGGCUAAAACAUGUAUUAAAAUCAGGUAAUAGGCCAAUUAUGAUAGUUUAAGCGACCGUGCUAGAACCACGAAAUCCGGGGGUGCCUAACACCUUCCCUCGGGUUAACAGAAUUCCUUAUUCAGAAUUUUCGGUUCGUAGACUUCAAAAGGAAAGUCAAAAUUUCCUCGAUUUGGGAUUUAAAAUAAACCGGUGACUUGGAACACCAAUUAAAAUAUUCCAAGUAGCGACUCUGAAUUGAAUAAAUAAUCCAAUUUCGAAUAAUGUCACUUUAAUUGGAAAAAUUUCCUUGUACUACCUUCGGGUGUGUAAAAGGAGGUGUGACACUCACCAUCUGUGAGAGAAUAGAAUAACAGAAGUUUAGUACUCGGAUCAAUAGAUUCACACGACAAGAAUUUCAAGAAUAUGAAGUUUUUCCUAAAGGAUCUGCAACCUCUCGAGGAUAAAUACAGACGUCUCUGUACCAAUCCGCGAGACUGUACUAAACCUGCUCAUGACUCGUGAGACCUAUGUAACCUAGGCUCUGAUACCAACUAGUCACGACCCCUAAACCCAUACCCGGUCAUGAUGUCGCCUCUCGUAAAGACAAGGCCAGCUGACAAAACACCCAAUUCAUUUUAAACAAUUAUAAUAACAUAAUUUAAGUCAUUAAUAUGCUAAUAAGCCCGAAAUAAAAGUGAAUUAAUACAAUUUAUGGAAACCGGCACAGACCGACAUCGGGAUGUCAACAGUCAUGAGCAUCUAAACAUGUGUCUAAGAGUCUGAAAGAGUUUAUACAGUCUAUUACGAAACUAGAAAUAGAAAGUGAGAUAUGAGGGAGAAACACUAGGCUGCGAAUGCCGAGCAACUACCUCGUGGACUCUGAAUGGCCUGCUGGGAGCAAUCAACCCUCAAGGCGGGACCUGAAGCUCCUAAAUCUGCACACAGGGUACAGGGAGUAAAGUGAGUACUCCUACUCAGUGAGUAAUAACAAUAAAUGAAGACUGAGCAAUAAGAAAUCACGUAAAACACAACAACAUGCUAUAAAGAGGCAGUGUAAAACCAAUAAAAAAUGCAAUAAAAUAGUGAAAUCUUAUAAAACACCUUAGUUAAGUACAAGCUUCUUUAAAACACGUUUUUAACAGUUAAACAAGUAGAUGAAAAAUAGAUAGAAAAGAUAAAUACAUAAAAUACGCCUCUCGGGCACAAUGUCAACAGAAUCAGCCCCUCGGGUAAUAACCUGGAACAACACCAGCCCCUCGGGCUAUAUAACAUAUCACACUGGGUACUUGCGCUCACUAGGGGUGUACAGACUUCGGGAGGAGCCCCUUACGGCCCAAGCGCAAUAUCAACCCAUCUAGUGGCAUAAUCAAUAGGCUCUCGACCUCAUAUCAAGCCACCUUGUGGCGUACAACUCAUACCCUCGGCCUCAUAAUCAUAAUCAGUACAACACUACUGCGGCAUGCAGCCCGAUCCCAUAAUAAUCCUCAUAACACAGGACCUCAGCCCUACUCAGUCAGAAAUCUCUAAAAGCCACUCGGGCACAGUAAAAUAUGAUGCUCAGCCCAAAAUAUCAUUUAAAGUGUUAAAACAGAGUAAACAUGAUUGAGUUAUGAAAAUAGUAGAAUAUAUCAUGACUGAGUGCAAAUAUAAAAAUAAAAAUAGUGACGAGACCCAAAUAUGAAUUCAGCCCAAAACAUGAUGAUAGCAAACAGUUUUCAAUCAAAUAUGCGGUAAAACAAUAAUUUGGGAUGGACUAACUCAUAAUCCCCAACGGUGCACGGUCCCACGCUCAUCAUCUAACGUGUGCGUCACCUCAAUAUAGCACAACAGUGUGAAAUCCAGGUUUCAAGCCCCUAGGACAACAUUUACAAUCAUUACUCACCUUUAUCCGGUCCAAACUCUAGCCCGCGAUGCCCUUGCCUCUCAAAUCGGCCUCCAGAUGCUCCAAAUCUAACUAAAAUCAGUGCAAAACCAUCAAAAUAUGCUAAGGGAACAAAGCCCACUCGAAAGAAAUUAAAUUACAACACAAAUCCCGAAAUUGGCCAAAUCCAACCCCCGGGCCCACGUCUCGGAAUCCGAUAAAAAUUACAUCAAUAGACUCCUUAUCACUCCCCGAGUUCAUUCAUAUCAAAAUAACCAAAAUCCAACCAUAAAUGGUCCCUCAAAUCCCCAAUUUUAGGUCUCCAAUUACAAGCCNNNNNNNNNNNNNNNNNNNNNNNNNUCAAAAAGUCUAUCAAACCACGUCCGAAUGACCUAAAAUUUUGCAUACACAUCCCAAAUGACACAACGGACAUACUUCAACUUCUGGAAUUCCAUUUCGACCCAUAUAUCAAAAUCUCACCUAUCAACCGGAAAACGCCAAAAUUCCAAUUUCGCCAAUUCAAGCCUAAAUCCACUCCGGACCUCCAAAAUAGAUUCCGAUCAUGAUCCUAAGUCCCAAAUCACCUCCCAAAGCUAUCCGAACCAUCGAAACUCAUAUCCGAUCCCUUUAUCACAUAACUCAAUAUCCGAUUGAAUUUUCCAACUUAAGCUUACUCAAAAGAGACUAAGUGUCUCAAACCUUACCAAAACCUCUCCGAACUCGAGCCAACCAACCCGAUAAUACAAAAUACAGCUGAACAAGGCAAUAAGAAGAAGAAAUAGGGGAAAUAAAGCAGUAAUUCAUGAAUCGACUAGCCGGGUCAUUACAACUACACAGGUUUUGUUUGGUAGUAUUGUCCUAGCCUCGUCACUACUUUGCCGAGGUUAGGAUAAACACUUACCAGUACAUGGGGUCGGUUGUGCUGAUACUACACUCUGCAUAGUGUGCAGAUCCCGAUGCUACAGCUUUUGGACCACAGUGAGGUUGCUGCGUUCAGUCCAGUGGCGGAGACCCGAGGUAGUCCUGUAGGCGUCCGCAGGCCUUGACGUUUCCUUCUAUCUUUCAUUCUGUUUCUUUUAUGUAUUUCAAAGACAACUUUGUAUUUAUCUUUCAGACCACUAUUUGUAGUAUUCGUAGAUAGUCCAUGACAUUGUGACACCAAAUUCUGGGUAGAGUUGUAUGUUGGAUUCUGUACUAGUAUAUGGUUAAACUAUUA
RNAcentral lists this long non-coding RNA (4542 nucleotides) under Nicotiana tabacum (common tobacco). Its description in RNAcentral is "long non-coding RNA (NTAB_LNC013791)". Lineage: Eukaryota; Viridiplantae; Streptophyta; Magnoliopsida; Solanales; Solanaceae. The record is from RNAcentral.